Molecule: ribosomal RNA, 253 nt
Filed under: uncultured bacterium
Lineage: Bacteria
Description: partial 16S ribosomal RNA
Rfam family: Bacterial small subunit ribosomal RNA
Source: RNAcentral
UACGUAGGGCGCAAGCGUUGUCCGGAAUUAUUGGGCGUAAAGAGCUCGUAGGCGGCCUGUUACGUCUGCUGUGAAAUCCCGGGGCUUAACCCCGGGCGUGCAGUGGAUACGGGCAGGCUGGGGGCAGGCAGGGGAGAACGGAGUUCCCGGUGUAGCGGUGAAAUGCGCAGAUAUCGGGAGGAACACCGGUGGCGAAGGCGGUUCUCUGGGCCUGUACUGACGCUGAGGAGCGAAAGCGUGGGGAGCGAACAGG